GCUUCCAUGCAGAUCGUGCGAGAAAGUANGCUUCGGUCUAUGAGUAGAGCGGCGCACGGGUUGAGUAACGCGUGGAUGAUCUACCCCUUGAGUUCGGGAUAACGGAACGAAAGAUCCGCUUAAUACCGAUAUAACAAUCCAUUUCAUCGUGGGUUCAAAGCAGGCCUCUUCGUGAAAGCUUGCGCUUGGGGAUGAGUCCGCGUCCCAUUAGCUUGUUGGCGGGGUAACGGCCCACCAAGGCAACGAUGGGUAGCUGGUCUGAGAGGAUGAUCAGCCACACUGGAACUGAAACACGGUCCAGACUCCUACGGGAGGCAGCAGUGGGGAAUAUUGCGCAAUGGGGGAAACCCUGACGCAGCGACGUCGUGUGAGGGAAGAAGGCCUUCGGGUCGUAUACCUCUGUCAGAAGGGAAGAAAAACUAGGAGUCGAAUAUCCUCUUAGUCUGACGGUACCUUCAAAGGAAGCGCCGGCUAACUCCGUGCCAUCAGCCGCGGUAAAACAGAGGGCGCAAGCGUUAAUCUGAAAUUACUGGGCGUAAAGCGUGCGUAACGCUGUUUGAUAAGUCAUACGUGAAAAUCCCUCGGCUCAACCGGGGAACUGCGUUUGAUACUGUUGAGACUAUUAGUCUAGCAGAGGGUGGC
Molecule: ribosomal RNA, 642 nt
Filed under: uncultured bacterium
Lineage: Bacteria
Description: bacterial SSU rRNA
Rfam family: Bacterial small subunit ribosomal RNA
Source: RNAcentral